UAGAGUUUGACGUCUGCUCAGGACACGCUGGCGGCGUGCUUAACACAUGCAAGUCGAACGAUGAAGCCUAGCUUGCUAGGUGGAUUAGUGGCGAACGGGUGAGUAAUACGUGAGUGACCUACCUUUGACUCUGGGAUAAGCCUGGGAAACUGGGUCUAAUACCGGAUACGACCAAUCUCCGCAUAGGGUGUUGGUGGAAAGCGUUAUGGAGUGGUUUUAGAUGGGCUCACGGCCUAUCAGCUUGUUGGUGAGGUAAUGGCUUACCAAGGCGGCGACCGGGUAGCCGGCCUGAGAGGGUGACCGGCCACACUGGGACUGAGACACGGCCCAGACUCCUACGGGAGGCAGCAGUGGGGAAUAUUGCACAAUGGGCGCAAGCCUGAUGCAGCGACGCCGCGUGAGGGAUGACGGCCUUCGGGUUGUAAACCUCUGUUAGCAUCGAAGAAGCGAAAGUGACGGUAGGCGCAGAGAAAGCGCCGGCUAACUACGUG
This 491-nucleotide ribosomal RNA is filed under the name uncultured Rothia sp. Its description in RNAcentral is "bacterial SSU rRNA". It matches the Rfam family "Bacterial small subunit ribosomal RNA", at positions 1 to 507 of the family's 1533-position model. Lineage: Bacteria; Bacillati; Actinomycetota; Actinomycetes; Micrococcales; Micrococcaceae. The record is from RNAcentral.